This 254-nucleotide ribosomal RNA is filed under the name uncultured bacterium. RNAcentral's name for it is "partial 16S ribosomal RNA". It matches the Rfam family "Bacterial small subunit ribosomal RNA", at positions 524 to 776 of the family's 1533-position model. The record is from RNAcentral.
UACGUAGGUGGCAAGCGUUGUCCGGAAUUAUUGGGCGUAAAGAGCUCGUAGGCGGUGUGUCACGUCGGCCGUGAAAACCUGCAGCUUAACUGUGGGCGUGCGGUCGAUACGGGCAUCACUGGAGUUCGGCAGGGGAGACUGGAAUUCCUGGUGUAGCGGUGAAAUGCGCAGAUAUCAGGAGGAACACCGGUGGCGAAGGCGGGUCUCUGGGCCGAUACUGACGCUGAGGAGCGAAAGCGUGGGGAGCGAACAGG